UUUGAUUCAGUGUCUGUUGAUAUUUGUCGUUGAAUCUAUCUUUGUUCCGUGUCCAUUUUUCUUAUCGGUUUAAGAAAUUUCGCAAGGAUUAAAUCAUUCUACUUUUAAACUCAAGUUAUCUAGAUUAUUUUGGUUAUUAAAUAUAAAUCUCCAAAGCUAUACAAAUAGUUAUCUUAAUUAAAUAAUAACUUAUGAAAUUUGAUUAAUUAAUAAAGAUGGAUUUGAAUCUAAACAUUUAUUUAAAGAUAAUAGUUCGACAAUUCUUUUCUUUUAAAGAUUAUAAUAUUUGUAGUGGUAUUUAAAUGUUUAGGCCUGCGUAUUUGGUUUUGAUUAACUUUUAUAAGUAUUUCAUUUGAAUCCAAUUUAUGACAUUUAUCAUAUUUCUAAGUUAUAACUUUUCCAAAGUUAGAAAAUUAGUUUUCUUUUUAUCUAAUGUUGAUUUGCUAUGAAAUGUGAUAGACUAUUUUAUUUGAUAACAUUCAAACGCUCAAUAUAAGAAAAUAUUGUUGCUAAGUAUCUUGUUUUACAAAUAAUAGCAUUAUUAAACGUUGUUUAAAAUAUUUGAUAGCUAUUUUUCUUGGAUUUGUUUAAACGUUUUAUUUACAAAUUACGGAUAAUAGGUUAGAAACUUUUUUUUGGUCAUACAGAUGCUAGAUUAUUUAAACAAGGUUUUCAAUAAGUUCGUUUAUACAAGAUAAAAUAUUUCAGUCAUCGUGGUCAGCUAUGUACCAGUCUCUACAACGGUUUUGUGUUGAGUUCGAUAUCAGUUAUGUGUAUGGCCGACUUUUGUUUCCGUAUCAGUUUUAGAUCGGUUAGUGUAUCAGUCUUUCGUCGUCUGCAUCUGUUUUAUGUACUCGUGUCAGUAAUCGUUUCAGUUCAGUCUUAGUUCUAUUAUGUUUUUCUUUCCGCUGAUAUGACUUUACUUGUACUGUUGAUUUCUCCGUUACUGAGCAAUUUUUGGCUCAGCCGUAAUAUGGGAUGACCUGGGAUUUCAGUGAAGAGCGUUAGGAAGUUGCUAGUCAAGAUUCUUUAUUUCAGUAAUGUAAUAAAUGUAAUUAGGAUCUUUUAUUUAAUGCUAUGCAUUGGUAUUUGGUUUUGAUAUCUGUAAGAGUGACACGUCAGCCCUAUUCGGGUCGGGGUGUUACACAACACAUCUUUUAAACUUGUU
Molecule: long non-coding RNA, 1168 nt
Filed under: Helianthus annuus (common sunflower)
Lineage: Eukaryota; Viridiplantae; Streptophyta; Magnoliopsida; Asterales; Asteraceae
Description: hypothetical non coding rna
Source: RNAcentral